Molecule: non-coding RNA, 71 nt
Organism: Crenichthys baileyi (White River springfish)
Lineage: Eukaryota; Metazoa; Chordata; Actinopteri; Cyprinodontiformes; Goodeidae
Source: the annotation of a GenBank genome assembly
GCUGUGGCUCAGUGGAAGAGUAGUUGUCUUACAAGCUGAAAGUUGUAGGUUCGAUUCUUCCUCCUGCUACA